Molecule: unclassified non-coding RNA, 200 nt
Filed under: Hevea brasiliensis (rubber tree)
Lineage: Eukaryota; Viridiplantae; Streptophyta; Magnoliopsida; Malpighiales; Euphorbiaceae
Source: RNAcentral
AGAAGAACAUUUUGCUUCUGCCUCUUAAUGUCAAUGUCACGGCAGUUUUGGUGUGACUUCACAGUUUUUCUACCUACUAGGUUUUUUUUUCUUUAUCCCAACAGCAGGGCAGGCUCGCAUGCACUGGCCCUGCAGGUAAGGGGUAUAUGGAAUUUUGGCUACCGAUCUUUGUACAGAUACCCCUCCCCUACUUUUUUUUU